This 40041-nucleotide long non-coding RNA is filed under the name Solanum tuberosum (potato). Its description in RNAcentral is "long non-coding RNA (STUB_LNC004630)". The record is from RNAcentral. Lineage: Eukaryota; Viridiplantae; Streptophyta; Magnoliopsida; Solanales; Solanaceae.
CAUUGAACCUAUAAUAAGGAUCGUGAUCGUGAAAAUUUUGCUAAAAUGAUUGUUGUUUGUGGUUUACCUUUUAGUUUUGGAGAACAUCUAGGUUUUAUUGCAUAUAUUCGUGAUACAUAUAAUCCUAGUUUUAAAGGUUUAUCAAGAAGCAUGGUAAAAUGAGAUAUUUUUGAAUUUCAAGAAAACAUUGUCAAUAUUUGCAUGCUUAUUUUGAAAUAAUGGAUUGUAGAGUUGCUAUUACCACUGAUAUGGGUCGUAGUCCUAAUGGUUUUGAUUAUUUAACUGUUACUACGCAUUGGACUGAGUAUAAUUGGAAUUUACAAAAAAGAAUUAUUGGUUACAAAAUUUGUCAAAAGAAAAAAACUGGAAUGUAUAUUGCUACUACUGUGUUGGAAAUUUUAGAUUUUUUCGGUCUUUGUGAUAAAGUCAUUAGUAUUACUUUAGAUAAUGCUUCUGCUAAUUUAAAUGCUAUUAAUAUGCUAGAACCUAGACUUUGUCCUAUUAGUAAAUAUGCUUUUCAUGUUAGAUGUGCUGCGCAUAUAUUAAAUUUGGUUGUUAGUGACGGUGUGAAAUUAUUUGAAAAUAGUUGUGAUAAAGUUGAUAAGUGUGAAAUUAUUUGAGAUAAAGUUGAUAAUGCUUGUUUUUAUAUUUUUCAUAUGCAUAGUAGUAGUAGAAUUAAUCAAUUUAAAGAGCUUUGUAAUGCAUGUAAACUUCCGUUUAGAAAAGUUCCGAAGCAUGUAAAAACUAGAUGGAAUUCCUUUUAUGAAAUGCUUGAAGUUGCUUAUACAUAUAAAGAGCCUAUUACUAUGCAAUUUAAUAGUCAUAAUGCUUAUCCUGAAUUUAAACUUAAUGAUAGUGAUUGGGAUGAAGUAAAUGAACUUAGAAUAUUUUUGAAAUCGCUUUAUGAUGCUACUAAAAAAUUUUCUGGAAUGUAUUAUCCUACUAUUUCUGAAAUAUUAAUAAAUAUAUGUGAGAUUUCAUAUAUCUUUUCUGAAUAUAAAACAAAUGAAUUAUUUACCACGAAGUCACUUAGUCGAACUAGAAAACUAUAAAGAAAGGGAGGCUAAGGUUACGAAGUAAGGUCAGCUGGUUAAGGAAAGCUUAGGUUAUGAAAUCGCUUAGCCGUUAAUUAAUUGAAAAUGAAAGUAGUAGUGAGGCGUCGGUACGAAGUUGUGUCAGCUGUGGAUAUAGACUAGGCUAAGGCUUAGGUAAGGCUUGACUUCUAUUUUCUUCACUUACACCUUACACUUCAGCUGAGUCUAACGAGGCUUAGGUGCGGAGCCUUCCAUAGUGGACCGAGACUACGCAAAGGUAGAACACCAUGGAAACUUCGCUGACUUUAUCAUCAACCUUGAUUUCGCUACGCUCAAUAAGAACUCGGAAUAACGGAAAUAGGUUUGUGUUCCGCUUCCAAAGUCAGUCGUCUGCAGUUCACAAUUGGGCAAAGACGACUCUCCAGUGGUUCCAUUCCUUCUUACUGUACUUCUGGGUCAACCCAACCUGAAUGGGAAGAAGAGGGUCAGCCAAACGUGCUAUUGAAGUUAUGAUUACAAAAUUUAAGAAAUAUUUUUUUCCUAUCCCUCAAAUAUAUUAAAUUGCAAUUAUUUUCAACCCCGAAUAUAAAGAAUAUGGUGCAAAAGCUUUAGUUGAAUGCAUUUAUCAAAAUGUAGAUAUUAAACCAAAAGAAAAACCUGAUUUGGUAACAUGUCAAAAUAGUAUAAAAUUACUUGCGAAAAGAAAUGUAUGAUAAAUAUUGUUCCUUAGAUAAUGUUGAAAAUCCUCAAAUGUCGAUGCCUCGAGUAGGUGCCCAUGGUAGAGUGAAACAUAAACUUGGUCUUGACUCUUCUAAUAAAUGUGAAUUUGUUAAAUAUCUUGAACAGGGUUCAGAUAAUAUUACAAACGAUGAAGGUAUACCACAACUAUUAAACUGGUGGAGGCUCGUGGAACUCAAUUUCCAAAACUUAGUAGGAUGGUGAAGGACGUGCUUGCAAUUCAAGGAUCAUCAGUUGCUUCGGAGGCAGCUUUCAGCGCGGCAAGAUUUCAAAUUAGAGACCACAGAUAUUCGUUAGCAGAAGACAGUUUGGAGAUAUCGGUGUUGUUUAAAGAUUGGAUAAAUACUGAGCGGAGAAAUCAAGGACUUCCAAAGUUGGAUAGUCAAUUUGAACUUUUCAUAGAUUCAGCCAUUGGAUGUGGUAGUGACGAUGGCAUGGAACUUCAAGAUCGUCAACGAGCUUUACCAAGACCAGUAGUUGAUUACGGUCAAUCUAUAGCUGAGUUAGAGAAAGGAUUUACGGGACUAUACAACUAUUAGUAUUACAUUUGAGGCUUAGUUGAAANNNNNNNNNNNNNNNNNNNNNNNNNNNNNNNNNNNNNNNNNNNNNNNNNNNNNNNNNNNNNNNNNNNNNNNNNNNNNNNNNNNNNNNNNNNNNNNNNNNNNNNNNNNNNNNNNNNNNNNNNNNNNNNNNNNNNNNNNNNNNNNNNNNNNNNNUUUGUGACUUUGUGUCAUUGUUUUAUCCUUAUUUUUAUUUAAUUUUUUAAAAUUACAAACUUAAGUUAUUUAAAUUACAAGUUAUAAAUAUAACUUAUAAGUUAUAACAUAUUAAUAAGUAAUAACUUAUAAACUUCAAAAGAUUCAAAUCUUAAAAACUUAAGGUCAAAAACAUUUUUUUUUUAAAAAUACUUUAUUAAACUUAACUUGCAAACUUAAUAAGUAAAAAUUAGAAAAAACAUUCAUAUUUUCGUAUUUCAAAAAAUUAAAAUAACUGAUUUUUUUUUUUAUCAUUUUUUGAAAUAUCUAGAUGUGUCGUCUCGUUUAUCCCAUCCUGUUCCAUUCCGGUCCGUUCCGAUCCAUUCCGCUUCCAUCCCGGUAUAUAGUGGGACGGGAUGGAACAGAGUAUCCGUCCCGGUAAUUCCGGUCCGGUUCAUCCCGGUACCGGUCAACAAACCGGUCAACCCAUCCCUUUUCAGUCUAGUAUCGGUUCAUUCCGGUUUGGUGGUUUCGUUCCGGUCUGGCGCCCAGUCUUACAAUGGCCCUCGGAAUAAGAUCGGAAGCACACGAAGGGUCGUUCUAGACCAAACUCGGCAUUCCGGAACUAACCGCACUGACGGAAUUCUCAUACGAGUGUGUUUACCAAGAAUGUUGAUCAAAGUUAAACUUAAGCCAAAAUUAAAAGGCUAAAGCACCAAAUGGCCCCAAAGUCACACAGAAAGCCUCAGGACUCGUGUCAACCAUGCUACUAUAUAAUUGGCCACUCCAGAGCUGAUGCAACUGUUAGAAUUUCCAUCUGAGGUCAUUUACCUGAGGUUAUGACUAAAAUCAAAUUUUCAAGUUUCAAAAGCUCCAAAAUUGGAAAACGGGCAUAAAACCCAAACGAACAACCAGGCGACCGAACAGUUUGUGCCAGCAAGUCAUAAAUGACUUGUGGUCGCUACAGGAACGCUCUAAACAAUGGAAAGAAGGCAUAAACACAAAAAUAACCUAGAGGGUCAUUAGAACUAAGAAUAUCGACUUACGACAAUAAAACAUUCAUUGAAAACUAAAUUAAGAAGUCUAAUAGAGAAAACAUACACAAAAAGAUAGAGAAGGAAGAAAAAUUCAAUGUAUACAUAAUUCUUAAAACUUGGAUCGAUAAUAAUAUAGAUGGAAAAAAUAAACACUAAAUUAUACAUCAUUUUCCGAGUUCUUAUUGACUCUUUCUACCAUAUCCUAUCAAAUUUCAAGAGUCUUCUUCAUCUACUUUAACUAUAGAAUAAAGAUGAUAACCUUGGUAAGGGUUUCAUGAAAUAAAAAAACUGAAUUUAUAUAUACAAAAAUGAAGGAAUACCAAAAGAUAUCUUAAAGUUUUAUAUUAAAUAUUUAGAGGUUAUGGAUAUGAAAAGAUGAGAGUUAUGGAUAUCAAAAGCAUACAACAACUGAAUUUAUAUACACAGAAAUGAAGAAACACCAAAAGAUAUCUUAAAGUUUUAGAUUAAAUAUUUAGAGGUUAUGGAUAUGAAAAGAUGAGAGUUAUGGAUAUCAAAAACAUAAAAAUUUGAAUAGGUAAUUAGAUAUGAGUUAUGAAUAUGAAUAUUUGAAGCAAAUAACGUGUGUCUAUCAAUUUUGCAGAUUUGCACCCUUUUAAAUUAUUAAAUUUCUUUAUUAUCAUAAAGGAUAAUACUUUAUCCACAUAAAUUAUAUUAUUUAUGAGAGGAGUUACGGAAAAAGCUAUGAGAAGAAAAGUUGACUAAUUUAUUGUCACGACCUAGACCGUCGUGAUUGACACUAAUAUUAACCCUCCGGUGGGAGAAUCAUCACUACAACCCAACUAAGCAACUUAACCGAAAACUAAGCAUUUAAAAAUACGGAAGCAAGUUUAAAUGAAAAGAAAAAAUGGAGUUCCCAUAAACUCCAAAGGUUUAAUAAAACAACUAAGCAAACUAUUGCGGAAGUUUAACCCCCUAGAACCUGAAAGUCAUUGUACCAAAACUCUAAAUUCAACAAGUCUAAGAAAAGGAGUACAGCCCCAAGCAAGCAUAAGGAAUAUCUAAACCACUAGUCUGAGUCUGAAGAGAAUGGACUAAACAAAAGUGAAGGAUCAAUGGCAGCCUAAAAGAACUGGCUCACCCUUGAAUCUGGUCUCGAUCAGUUAUCUCCAAGCUGAGGUCUAUCCGUAACCGCCUAAAGAUGCCUUGUACUCAACAAAGAACGAGCAAGUACAAUAUCAGUGCACAACCACAGUGUACUGGUAGGAUCACGUGGCUACUCCAGUAAGCGAAAUAUACGCAUGCAAUUACAAGUAAACAUACAUAUAGAAAAUACAUGGAUCAAUUAUCAUUUCAAGAGCAACAUAUGGUUCCCAAUAUCAACGACAAUACACAUGAAUGUAAUGAUAACAAAUGGUCCUCUCAUGGAACCCACACCCAAAUUGUUAGUGUGUCAAAACGUGACACCCGAUCCAAUAUAUUUGUCGGAACGUGACACCCGAUACAAUAUAUGUGUCGAAACAUGACACCCGAUCCAAUAUAUGUGUCAGAACGUGACACCCGAUCUAAUAUAUGUGUCGGAACAUGACACAGAUCCAAUAUAUGUGUCGGAACAUGACACCGAUCCAAUAUAUGUGUCAGAAUGUGACACCCGAUCCAAUCAGCACAAUAACAAUCACAAUCACACCCAUAAUGAGCAUUACUCAUAAUCGUACAAUCAAGAUUAGGUUCAUGGCAUGGAAUUGUUCAUUCAUACUCAUUUUCAUCCUACCUCGAAACCAAGCUUGAAUCCUUCUAAGACACUUGAGCCUCCCCUUUCUGGAUUUUUUCCAAUUGUUCUUGGUCUAAAAGCAAUCAAUUAAUGCAAGGAUCAAUAAACAAGGCUUCAUUUACCCGGAUAAUAAUCAAUCUAUCUAUCCAUGGCCAAACCCAAGAUCCUAAUAUUCAAUUAGGGCUUUUCCUACCAUUAACUUUAGGUCAAAACUCUCCCCCAAUGAUAAUUACACAAGAAUCUAAGUUCUACGGAUCGAAAAUGGAUUAGGGGAGUAAUGAUCUUACCUUUAGUGCUAGAAGUGGUGGAAAACUGUCAAGAACUUGCCUUGGGUUGUCUCUUAGCUCUCAAGAACGAUCUUUUGCAGAAAAUAACGAAAUUGGGGUUUUUUACACGAUUUAAGUCGCGACUGUCCCGCUACAGUGGCCCCGCUCUGGCGGGCCUAAUCCCGCUCUAGCAGCUUGCAUGGAGAUAGAAGGUUGGAAUUUGAGUUACAAGCUCCCUUUUUGCAACAUACCUUUAACCCUUGAAAUUCAAAAAUUACCUUUUCACACCAAGAUCAGUUUCAGGAGUUCUAUUCGCCCGAAUUUUAUUCCGUAAAGUCGUACGAGCUCCUUAACGUCUUGGAUAUCCACUCAUGUGAUCAAAUUCAUAAUUAAAUCUCCCACUCAUUACCAGAUUUCCCUAUACCUUACCUAACUCAGAUUUCGUCCAAAUUUGGACUAGGCUAGAAAUUUCCAAGUUACUACUCAAAAGUUUUCUGGCCCAAAUUCUUUCCCCAUUGGAUUUUCCAUAACACUGGGAAUAGGUCAUUACAAUAGAUACCAAUUUAUCCAUCACUCAUCUCCGAGUGAUAAACUAGGAAUAACUGGCUUAGGUUAGAGUAGAGUAGUAUUUGAAUGUCGAAUAGCUGGGGAUACUUGUCUCGCAUGUCCCUCUCGGUUUUCCAAGGAGCUUCCUCAACUGGACAAUGCUUCCAUUGAACUUUCACGGACUUUAUAUCCUUGGUCCUCAUCUUCCGGACAUCGCGAUCAAGAAUUGCAACCGGUUCUUCCUCAUGUUGAAGGUCUUUGUUUAACAAAACUGAGUCCCACUUUAUGAUGUAAUCCCCGUCCCCAAACCAACCAAUUGAAUACCUACACAUCCUCUCAUACAAUGCCUUAGUGAAGUCAUCUCAAUACUUGAGUGAUAAAUAUUGUUGUAUGUAAACUUAACUAACAACAAAAACAAUUCCCAAUAACCAUUAAAGUCGAUCGUACACACGUCCGCAACAUGUUAUCAAGGACCUUGACACGAUCAUCAGGACGAAUCCUUUCUUACAUAAGCAUGAUAAAAUUCUAAAUCAAUACAUGCUACAAUUAGAAGUGAACCUGAACCAACCAACACACAUUCAUAAUACCCAAACAAUCAUAGUUAUUAUCAAUAUCUCCAUCUCACAACAUAAAUUCCCAUGAGCUUAAGUUAUAGAAAUUUGAUCUUUAGACAUCCGAUACUCAUCGAGGGAUAUGUCCAAGCAUACAAACCCCUAACAACACUAUCGAAAUGCUAGAUUAGUAAUUGUGAUUGUAGAUUACCCUUAAGAACGGUAGAAUUGGACCCAAUGAUCCCCACAUUAAACCACACAUAACCGAUACAUGACCUCGACGGCUAGAUGAAUAUUAAGAUUGUCCGACAACUAUAAAUACGCCUGGUAGCUCUUCUAUAAAUUCUCAUAAGCAAGGUGGUACAUGUAAAACCACUGGAAUACUUUAACACCUCCAAGACAACACCAAAUAUGUCAUCUGAAAUAACCAAGUCUUUUCAAUCAUCUCACUCAACCAAGAGAACAUCGCAGGAGCGGUACACCUAUUCAACCACUAGGGAUCCAUCCACAAAAGUGAAAACACAUGUGAGCAUAGCUAGUGAAUCAUACUCACAACCAUGUACAAAAUGAAAUAGAUGGUCACAUAAGAAUUUACAGAAUCAAUAUUGAAUAACAGUAAAGGUUUUCCUCUGACGAGUCGAUACCAGCCAUUUCCAUUCAGUUGACUCCACAUACUCUUCACAUCAUUCCACUGAAGUCCACACUCUAUAUACCAACAACCAUCAUGAACACUCUGACCAUUUACCUUACUCUAAACCAACACUUUUAAAUGAAAACCUUUCUUAGGUACUUUAACAAUUAAAAGUAAUAAACUUUGCAACUCAAACCAGGUGUAAGGCCUUUCAAAGGCUCAAUACCUGAUACAAUUGAUCAUUUCUCACCUUACAAAUUCAUACAUUGAUAAAAUAUAUCACCAUGAAUGUAGACUUACAAUGAAAAAUUUGAAUGGUAAAUUUAAUCGUAUAACACAAUCUGCUUAUCUAUCAACAUUAGCUUAUACCUUAAAGAUUUUUAUGAAUUCAUGGAUCUUUACUUAUCAUUGAUCGCAUCUCUAACGAUCUUACAAUAUCUUUUGCUAAAAAAUAUUCAAUUGUAUUCAUUGCUAAACUCAAAAACAAAAACAAAGCACUUAUCAUCACACUCGAGCUACUGUCUGUACACUCCUUUCUCAAGUCUUUUCCAUUAGUUUUUAACCAAUCUAAUGGACCUGUGACACUAUUACCAUAGCCACAAAAAAAUGAAUGAAAUCACGCGUCUCUGAACCCAAUUAUCUACCCCUCUAAAGAUACCUCUUUAGCCUUUGCAAUCAAAUAAAAUACUCUUACUCUCGCUUCUCUCUAAGGUUGUACUAUAUCCCACUAUUUUUUCCUUCAGUAUGACUCUAGCUCUUUUACAUUCUAUUCGAGUGGUGUCCCACCAUAUCUUAAAAUUUCCAUACAACCACGUUACUCACCAAAUAUUAGAAAACCACACCUUAAAUACUCGCAAGUCGUAAUUACUAUACAAAAUUCACUUAACCAACAAUCUUAUUAUAUAGUUGCAUCCCGUCACAAUCCAUCCCGAACUCUUAUUACCAUUAUGCUCAGUUACCCCUGACUAUCACUAUGAAGUCAACCUUUUCAUCGACAUGACACCUCAAACUCAGGAAUACCCAUCAAAUUCAAAGGACUAACCUAAUUUUAUACGCACUUUUUUACUAAAAUCUUAUAAUGCCUUCACCCAAGUAUACUCGAUGGGACUUUCUUUAUCGACAAGCUUUUCAUUCCGAUAUCAAUCCACUCCUUUAUGGCUUAAGAUAAAAUCACUUGUCCUUGUACUACCAUCCUUCUUCUUAACAAACAAGAUAGGAGCACCCCACGGGGAAGCACUAGGACGGAUAAAACAUUUAUCAAGAAGCUCAUGGAUUUGAGCCUUAAGCUCUCUCAAUUCUACCGAAGUCGUGCGAUAAGGAGGAAUGUAGAUGGGGUGAGUGCCAGGUUGCAAGUCAAUGCACAAAUCUAUAUCUCUAUCCGGAGGUAUACCAGGCAAAUUGGUAGGAAACACUUCCUUGAAUUCAGACACUACAUGAAUAGACUCAAUAGAGGGAGGCUCAACAUCAACCUCCCGAAUAGGAGCUAAAUAUGCCAGACACCCUAGCCCCACCAGUUUCCUAACCCGUACGAAAGAUAUGACCUUAGCUGGCUUAGGCUUGUACACCCCUUCCCACUCUAACCUUUCCCUACCCGGGAUCUCUAGAAUCACAGACUUAGCAUUACAAUUAAGCACAACAUAAUAGGGGGACAACCAAGUCAUGCCUAAGAUUAUAUCGAAGUCAGUCAUAUCCAAAAUAACCAAAUCAGCCCAAGUCUGAAAACCUAUAAACAAAAUAGGAAAAACACGAUAUACCUGGGUGACUAUGACCGACUCUCCAACUUGGGUAGAAACAUGGAUGGGGGCACCAAGCACAUCACAAAUUACAUCAAUUUCUAAGGCAAAUUGAACUGACAGAUAUGAAUAAGUAGAACCCGGAUCAAAUAGACCAGUAGACAUUUGGUCACAUAUAAGAAUAGCACUUGUGAUCACUGCAUCAGAUACCUCAGCCUCGGUUUUGCCCGAAAAGGCAUAAAACUGAUCCCUGUCAUCUUGAUGGGCAACCUCCUUGCCUGGCGGCACUACUCCCCUACUUGUAUUACUAUUUCCCGGGCCUCCAUAGCCUUGCUGAUUUCCUCCUCUUAAGCCCAGGUUCUCCACAAUUGUAACACACUUAAUAACUUAACCAAGUAAACAUCACUGCUAUUGUAGUAGUUGUAUCAUGACCCCCUUUGAUAUACACUCAAUCUAGGAAAUCGCAGUAGAGAUUCUAACCUCAAUUGUCGCAAUAUAAUUUCAUCAUUUUAUAAGCAACCCAUACAUGUUAUGACAACAAUACUAAAUGUAUUUUCCAAAGUGAUGGUGUUCAUGAUAUAGCCUUCCCUUACAAAACUUUUUGAAUGUUGUUACCUUGGUAAAGUCUUAUGACUUCACUCCCUUCUAUCUCCGUCACAAAAUCAACCACUUCCUGAAAGUAUUUUCCUAAAGUAGCCACCUAUAAGCUUGAAUCUGCAAAUCUGACCUUAAUCCCUUCACAAAACGAUGAAUUUUCUCUUUUAGACUAAAGCAAAAUGGAGUACCAUAUUUGGAUAAAACACAAACUUUUGCCUUAAAGGCUGCAACAAAUAUAUUAUGUUUCUGUAUAUUCAGGAACUCAUCUCUCCUCCUAUCCCUCAAUGUUCAGGGUAUAUACUUCUCCAUACAGAAAGCUAUAAAAUGUUUCCUAAGUCAUAAGGAGUGCAUUUACUUAUCGGCACUCAACAUGAGACCACCACCAUAUUUUGGUGUCUCCCUUGAACUGGUAUAUCAUAAACUCAAUGCCAAAUCACUCUAUCUUAUCCAUCUUAUGAAACAGCUCAUGACAACCAACAAGAAAAUCAUAAGAAUCUUCAUAUUCAGUACCCAUGAAGAUUGAAGGUUUGAACCUUAAGAACAUAAUAAAAACCUUAUGUUUGUCACUAGUCAUUAUAUGCCCACAUUGAAUCAGGGAAACAUGCUUAUUUGGAAGGAUGCAUCCUCUCUUGCUAGUGUUGGUGUUACCACUUCUGUUGCUCUAGUUCUGACCAUAGAGUGAAGGAGGAAAGAUACCAAUUUGGAUCACCUAGUGUAACACCCCGUAGCCUAAAGAAGGAAACCUAGCCAAUUUUCAGAACCUCCAGGUGUCACCCACGAGGUCCAAGCACUCCCCGUGGUUAGACCCACACCCCAUAGGUGGGCCUCAUGGAUGGACACCAUGAUGCAAGGCAGUAACCACGGCCAGGACCUACACCCCGUGGAUGGCUCCACGGCCCUUGGUUGGGAGCCAUAGGUCCAGGGCUCAAAUUUCAAGCCCUAGACCAUCGAACCACGCUUGACCAGGAUGGACCGUAAGUCCAUCCACGGUCCGUCAGUCGUGGUCUCGUGGUUGGUCACUAGGCAAUUAUUUUGGGGACUUAAGGGUUUUUUCCGGUUUUAAGUAAAUCAAUGUGGUGUCGUUUUGCCUUCAUCUAGACCACCUAUAUAAGUAUUUUUGACCCCCAAAAUCCCCAAUUAAGUCAUUCUCUCAAAUCCCAAAAAGAAUUCCCAAAACUCCUCUAAAAAAAUCUCUAUUUAGAAGGAAGAAGAAGAAGGAAAAGAAGGAAGAUAGGUCAAGUUAAAUUCUCCAAUCUUCAAGCUUGUGAGGGCAUUCUAAAAAAAUUCUCCCAUGGAGUCCCCUAGAAUUCCCCCAAUUUGAUGAAGAAUUCCCCAAUUCUAGUUAGGGUUUCUUCCAAUGUUGGGUUAUGAUGAAUGUCGAUCCAAAUAGUUGAUUUAUGAUUGUUUAUGAUUGAAUUGAUAGAAUUACAUGUUUUUAGGAUGAAAUUACAUGUACCGAUGCCUACUCCAUGAUGUGACCUAGAAUUGAUAUAGUUGGGUUGACCAUGAAGGGAAACGUUGUGGGUUUAGGCUUAUCCUUAUAGAAUUGAUGAAGUAUGAUUAGAAUUGCUUGAGAAUGUAGCUUAGAUGAUGAUCAUAAGAUCUAGGGCUUGGAGAGUAAUGCUUAUGAUAUGAAUGGUUGGUAACUAAUGUUAUGGUUGAAGAAGGGAUACUUCCCACAUGAAUUGCGUACUUAUGAAUAUAUGAAGGUGAAAGACUUACUCACAUGAAUGAUUCUAGGUUUUAAAGGAUUGCAUACCUAAAAUGAAUCUAGACUAAAAUGUUAAAUGAAUGAUGAGGCUAGAGGCGACUACCCUUGACCUCUAUAUUGAAGGAUAUAUGGUGAUUUCACAUACUCCUUAGAAGUGAACAAGAGGUGAUUCCCUAUAUUCCUAAAUGAUGAAUGGACAUGGAGGUGAGUACCUAUGAUCCUUAUGAUAUGAUGUGAAGGCGAGUACUCAUGUCAUAUGAUGUGAUUGUGGAGGCGAGUACACAUGAUCUUAAGGUAAGUAAGGAAAGAGGCAAAUACUCGUUAGCCUUUGAAAGUUAGACAAUGAGGUUAAUCCCCAUGUCUUUUAAAGUAAGUAUGAACGAUAUGAUUAUGUUAUGAAGAUGUUUAACUUGGAGUGUUGCUAGAUAUGCCUUCCAUGAUGUAAGCUUGACUAGAGGUGGAUGACCCACAUAUUGACUAAGGUUAAGUGAGGUUACCCAAGGAAGUAUUUCUCUCUUAUAAUGAUGCCUAUUAUGUCAUGAUUAUGCUUAUGCCUUAUGUCAUAUGUUGACUAAUGCUUAUGUUUAUGUUGUUUAUGCUAGCCAUAAUAUUUAGUACAUGAUUGUACUAACCCAUACUCUUGCAUACAUUCUUAUCAAAUGUUGGGUACGGUGAUAUAGAUUCUCACACUCAUGGCUAGCUACGUUGUUGAUCAAGGAAGUGAAGAUUUGGUGAGUCCUCAUUGUGUUCGAGGAUGUGAUCACCCUUUUCUCUUUUGUGUUUCUUUAUGUCUUGGACUAUUGUAUGGGAUGCGUCCCAAGACUUUAUCCAUGUUGUUUUAGAUGGUUUGAGACUAUGGUAUUAGACUUUCGUUCGUUUUAUGAAAAAACUUCGAUUGUAAUGAAAUGCUUUAAAUUUCCACACCAUUUUUUACUACUUUAUGUUAUGAUAUGCUAAAUGACAUGUAUGAGGCCUCUCAGGAUCUUGUAUGCCUUGUUACAUUAGGGGGUACCCCUAGGUCGUGACAAACUUGGUAAUCAGAGCACAAGGUUUAGAGCGGUUCUAAGAUGUCUCAAACCACGUCUAGUAGAGUCUUGUUCAUAAGUGUGAAGAGCUCUACAUUUAUGAAUUAGAGGCUAUUAGAUGUUUAGGAAACUUAAGUUCUUCAUUUCUCUAAGUCGUGUCAUGGAGUUUAACUAUAUAUGUUUUUCUCCUAAUCCUUACCCGAUGGUUUUCAGGAUAUGACUACUAGAAGGGCUAAUGCUAGAAGGAUCAAGGGAGGCAAUGUUGAUUAAGAGGUUCCUUUUCAACUUUGUCACGACCUAGACCGUCGUGAUUGACACCCACACUAACCCUCCGGUGGGCGAACCAUUACUACAACCCAACUAAGCAACUUAACUGAAAACUAAGCAUUUAAAGAUACAAAAGCAGGUUUAAAUGACAAGUAAAAUGGAGUUCCCAUAAACUCCAAAGGUUUAAUAAAACAACUAAACAAACUAUUGCGGAAGUUUAACCCCUGGAACCUGAAAGUCAUUGUACCAAAACUCUAAAUUCAACAAGUCUAAGAAAAAGGGGUACAACCCCAACCAAACAUAAGGAAUAUCUAAACCACUAGUCUGAGUCCAAAGAUAAUGAACUAAACAAAACUGAAGGAUCCAUGGAAGCCUGAAAGAACUGGCUCACCCUCGAAUCCGGUCUCGAUCAGUUAUCUCCUAGCUGAGCUAUCUGUAACCGCCUGAAGAUGCCUGUACUCAACAAAGAACGAACAAGUGCAAUAUCAGUACACAACCACAGUGUACUGGUAGGAUCAUGCAGCUACUCUAGUAAGCAAAAUACACGCAAGAAAUUACAACACAGUAAAUAUACAUAUACGAAAUACAUGGAUCAAUUAUCAUUUCAAAAGCAAUAUACGGUUCCCAUUAUCAACGACAAUACAUAUGAAUGUAAUAAUCAUAAUGGUCCUCUCAUGGAACACACACCUAAACUGUUAGUGUGUCGGAACAUGACACCUGAUCCAAUAUAUGUGUCGAAACGUGACACCUAAUCAAAUAUAUGUGUCGGAACGUGACACCCAAUCCAAUAUAUGUGUUGGAACGUGAUACCCAAUCCAAUAUAUGUGUCGAAACAUGACACCCGAUCCAAUAUAUGUGUUAGAACGUGACACCCAAUCCAAUAUAUGUGUCCAAAUGUGACACCCAAUCCAUUAUAUGUGUCGGAACGUGAAACCCGCUCCAAUCAGCACAACCACAAUCACAAUCACACCCAUAAUGAACAUUACUCAUAAUCAUACAAUCAAGUAUUAGGUUAAUGGCAUGCAAUUGUUGAUUCAUACUCAUUUUCAUUAGGUUUGAUCUACAUUGCCUCAAUUACCAACAUAUAUCACACAAACAGGAAAUCAAACCAUCACCUACCUCGAAACCAAGCUUGAAUCCUCCUAAGACACUUGAGCCUCCUCUUUCUGAAUUCUUUCCGCUUGUUCUUGGUCUAAAAACAAUCAAUUAAUGGAAUUAUUAAUAAACAAUGCCUAAUUUACCCGAAUAAUAAUUAAUCUAUCUAUCCAUGGCCAAACCCAAGAUCCUAAUGUUCAAUUAGGGAUUUUUCCCACCAUUAACUUCAGGUCAAAACCCUCCCCCAAUGAUAAUUACCCAAGAAUCUAAGUUCUAAGAUCGAAAAUGGAUUAGGGGAGCAAUGAUCUUACCUUUAGUGCUAGAAAUGGUGGAAAACUGUCAAGUACUUGCCCUGGGUCGUCUCUUAGCUCUCAAGAAUGAACUUUUGCAAAAAAUAACGAAAUUGGGGGUUUUUACCCGAUUUAAGUCGCAACUGUCCCGCUACAGCGACCGUUCUCUGGCGGGACUAAUCUCGCUCUGGCGGCUUGCACGGAGACAGAAGGUCGGAAUUCUAGUUUCAAGCUCCCAUUUCACAACACACCGUCAACCCUUGACGUUCAAAAACGACGGCCAAGAUCAGUUUCGGGAGUUCUACUCUCCCGAAUUCGAUUAUGUGAAGCCAUAUGAGCUCCUUAACAUCUUGGCUACCCACUCAUGUGAUCAAAUUCAUAAUUAAAUCUCUCUUUCAUUACCAGAUUUCCCUAGACCUUACGUGACUCAGAUUUCGUCCAAAUCUGGACUAGGUUAGAAAUUUCCAAGUCGCUACUCAAAAGUUUUCUAGCCUAAUUUUUUUCCCCAUUGGCUUUUCCAUAACGACGGGAACAGGUCGUUACAUUUAUGUAGAGAUUUUUGGAUUCUUUUAAAUUAUUAUUAUUAUUAUUAUUAUUAUUAUAGAUGAUGACUAUUAUUAAAUUAGAUAUUUUAAUUAAGAAUUAAUCUAAGGAAGUGCAAAAUUCGUUAAUAUGUUAAUUAAAAUGAUACAAUUUAAUAUUUAAAUUAAAUACUUCAAUAUUUUGUAACAUUUUAAUUUAUAGUAGGGGUAAAACCGUAAUUGAAUUUUUAACUUUUUUUGUUCCCACAUAUAGUAAUAUAUGAGGUUUAAGUCAUCAACAACCACUCAAAGUUGUCCGCAUAUUUCAUUUGGACACCUCAAUUUAACCUUAUACCUAUUGAACAAUUUUACCUGCUUUAAUUUAAACCAUUUCAACACUUUUUUGAUAAUCAACUAAAAGUAUAAGAUGUGUGUAAUAAAUUAUAAAGAAAUUGAUGAAUGACUAAGGUACAUGUGGCAUUUUGAGCCAAAUAUUUAUUAAAAAUUAUAAAGAAAAGAAAAAAAGAAGGAAAAAACUCUUUGUCCACUCUACCAUGGACCUUCAGCCUCCUUUGAGCCACUUUCACCACCGUCUGAUUUCUUUUUCAAUUUGAUUUUGAAGAAAAAAAAUUGAAAGAGAAAACUACAUAUCCUUCCGCGAUUUCUUCAUUUUAUCGUUUUGUUAAUCGUCUCAAUUUCUAAGAUAGUUGAAAGAAAUUCAACCAUUAAUGGUGAAAUUGAGUUUGUUUAGUGAAGAAAAUUUUCAACUCUAGAAAAGGAUGUCACCCCCCUAGCCUACAACCUGGGUGGGACUAGCACUUAAAGACCAUUGCUGGCCCCAGGCGAACCCUUGGCCUGGUUUACUUAACUCAGCAGAAGACAAUAGUUAUAUCUAUAAUGAUCAAUGAACUUAACUGAACUUAAUAAUGAAAUAACUGAGAAUGUUUAAAAAAUUAAACAUUCAACUUGGCCAAAAGUGGCAACCUAAGUCUUUAACAUAAGAAUGAUAAUGCAAAGACUACUAGACUACUAACUGUCUAUAAAGCCUCUAAAACAACUGAGAUGGAUGUUGGGACAAACCCCGCAACAUCCUAAUGAACUAAACUAGAAAGCGAAUAAAAAAGUCCUCCGGAAUGCAAUAGACUCUGAAUGCUCAGGCUGGAUCAACGAGGUGCUGAAUGUUGAUCCUGGUUAUAUACGUCUGCAUCAUAAUAAGAUGCAGGCCAACUGGCAUCAGUACAUUGAAUGUACGAGUAUGCGAGUUGGAAUGCUAACAAACAUAGGCUCGAAAGAUAUUAUAAAAAAAACACUUACCUGGCUCUUCUCAACUCAUGGAUACUCAACUCAAUAUAAAGCAAUAAAAAACAUGCGAUAUAUAUAUAACUUAUAAAACAACUGAAAACAAUCUUAGUUCGUUAAAGAUAAAGCAAUAACAAACUUAACUUUACUCAUUUAAAAAGUAAUAUAACUUAUGUGGGAGAUUCUCUAACCGACAACCAUCACUAUGAGCCUAAGUGAUGGUACAACGUCUUACCUCGCGUUGCCAAGGACCGUCAUAUACCUUGCCAUCAGUAUAGAAUAUGAACUCGCAUCCCCAUAUCGGUGCUCAAUACUACUCCAAAAAUAUACUUAGCUCAUAUGUUUUUAAAACAACUUCUUCUCUAGUUUGAGAUAAUUGCUCAAACUUAGCUUAAAAAACUCUCUUGGAAUCAAUGUGAAAACAUUUACUCUUGGAAAUACUUAGUUCCCAUAUAUCAUUUUAAAUAAAAUGAACUUUGCUCUUACUCUUUACUCAACUUCAAAACUUAAGUCUUAAAACAAAGUUAAAGCGUUUGUAAAAUACUUGUGAAAACUUUAAAUGAACUUCUCUUACUUGACUCUUGACUUCUCUUGACUUUGAUCUUAACUGUUCUUGACUUGACUCUUAAAUGAUCUUGAUUUGACUCUUAACUGAUCCUUGAAUUGAAUUAUGGAUUCAAGGAUUAUGAUUGGUGUUUGGAAAGAUCUCAGGUUGUUUAGGAAUGAUUUUAGAUAGCUAAACAUGAGAAAAGACCAAAAAUCAAGAUUUGAAGGUGAGUCCGCGAUGCGGAGGCAUAAUUAAAUUUUGGUUUCGAAAACGUCUUUUGAGGUAGAGCACCUCGUGUCAGCUCCGCGAUGCGGUGCAUAAUUUGUCAAUUCUGGGAACAGGUCGCGCGACACGUUCCUGUACUCAAAUUUCGUCCGAUGAAAUUUAUUCUUCGUUUUCCAGACCCAAAUCACCCAACCUUGGUUCUUUUUCUCAUAUUACCUUUAGAUACAGAUACCCAGCAAAUGUACCUAAGAACCUAACUCGAAACGACUCUAUAAUGCAACGUAACGAACUUAGAAACUUCUCAAUUCAUCCCAAUUCAAGAACAACAUUCAAAGUCAAGAAUUCAUUUCAAGAAUAUCAACUUUCAAACUCUUUUAGGACGAAUUUCUCUAAACUAAUCAUGUUUGGCGCGUGGGUGAAUGAACGCAACGCUAUGAGAAACUCAUAUACCUUGUAGGGCAAAUUCCUUGGCGAAUCCGCAACCAAAAUCGAUCGUUCUUGGCGAAUCUUGCUUUUCCUCUUCUCCUUUCUCUUGCGUUCUUUCUCCAAAAGCCCUAACUCUAUUUCUCCAAAGUGUAAACUGAACUAACUCAGUUUUGACCCCAACUAUUUAUUAAAAACGGAUUUAAUUAAUUGGGUAAGAAAAAGACCAAACUACCCUUCAAAAGUCCGGAUUGGGCCUUUCCUUAUUCGAACAGUCCAACUUCCAAAGGGUAUAACUCACUCAUAAGAACUUGGAAUCACAUAAAAUUGGUGGCGUUGGAAAGAUCAUUCCAAGAGCAUUCCAACCAUAUCUGUAACUACACCUAACUUAUCUUGAGCUAGGAUUUAUGGUCAUUUGAAGUUGACCGAAAACUCACUUUAGCUUACUUGAAAUUUUCCAGAUAUCCUUAUACUUUCCAAAAAUAACUAUUUCCAGAUUUUAAACUUCCUUCUAGUUCUUUCUAGUUGCGAGAUGUUACAAUAUCUCCCCCUUGGGAACAGUCGUCCUCGAAUGAGAUUUACUCUUACUAAGCUAAGGGUGGUAACAUCAAGUUCAAACAUCCCAAAAGUAAUUUCAAACAAAGAACAUGCUCACUCAUAAUUUAGAUAGUUCUAAGAAGAAAAUUAGUACCUUGGUCUGCAUUUUCUCCGGUUUCAAAGAGAUGUGGAUAUCGCUUCUUUAUAUCCUCUCCAGCUUCCCAAGUAGCUUCUUCAACAAAUUGACUCCUCCAAAGGACUUUGAUUGACGUAACCUCCUUUGUUCUCAACUUGCGAACUGGACUAUCUAGAAUUUGAACUGGAAUAUCCUCAUCAGAUAGACUAUCCUUGAUCUCAAUAUCUUCAGUUGAUAUGAUCAAUGAAGAAUCACCCAUGCACUUCUUCAACAUGGAGAUGUGAAACACCGGAUGAACCGCUAUUAAUUCCUGUGGUAGCUCUAACUCAUAAGCUACAUUGUCAAUCCUCUUGGCUAUUCUAUAAGGUCCAAUAUAGCGGGGACUAAGUUUCCCCUUCUUACCAAACCUCAUAACACCCUUCAAGGGUGAAACUUUUAAAUAUACUCAAUCAUCUACCUCGAACUCUAACGCCCUUCUCCUAACAUCAGUGUAGGAUUUCUGACGACUUUGUGCUGUUUUCAAUCUUUCUUGAAUUACUUUCACCUUCUCCAUAGCUUGAUGAACUAAAUCUGGUCCUAUCAACCCUGCUUCACCAACUUCAAACCAUGCAAUAGGAGAUCUGCAUCUUCUCCCAUAAAGAGCUUCAUAAGGAGCCAUUUGGAUGUUAGAGUGAUAACUGUUGUUGUAAGCAAACUCAAUGAGAGGUAGGUGAUCAUCCCAAUUCCCUUUGAAAUCGAUCACACAAGCCCUCAACAUAUAUUCUAAUGUCUGAAUAGUGCUCUCUGCUUGCCCAUCAGUCUGAGGAUGAAAGGCAGUACUUAAGUUCACCUUUGAACCCAAGCCUUUCUAAAAAGUUUUCCAGAACUGUGCAGUAAAUUGUGCACCUCUAUCUGAAAUAAUGGAGAUUAGGACUCCAUGAAGUCUUACCAUUUCUUGAAUAUAUAACCUAGCAUAAUCUUCUGCUGAAUGGGUAGUCUUUACCGGCAGAAAAUGGGAUAAUUUUGUCAUUUUGUCGACAAUCACCCAAAUAGAAUCAUGCAGUCUGCGAGACCUUGGAAAACCUAUUAUGAAAUCCAUAUUAAUCAUCUCCACUUCCAUUCUGGAAGUUCUAUAUUCUGUGCCAAACCACCGGGCCUUUGAUGCUUAGCUUUCACUUGUUGGCAAUUUGGACACUUAGCGACAAAUUCAGCAAUGCCCUUCUUUAUGCCAUUCCACCAAUAAACCUCUCUCAAGUCACGAUACAUCUUUGUGGAACCUGGAUGAAUGGAAUAUCUAGAGCUAUGAGCUUCAUCCAUGAUCCUCUCUUGGAGUCCAUCCACUAUAGGUACGCACAAUCUACCUUCAUAUCUCAAUACACCAUCUCCCCCUUGUUCAAAAGCUGAUACUCUUUGCUUAUGAACAUUUGACUUUAAGUAUAGAAAAAUGGGAUCUUGGUCUUGCUUUUCUUUCACUUCUGACAUUAGUGAUGAUUCGGCCCCAUUCAUCACCACUAUUCCUUCUUCUGUGGAAUCCAUAAGUCGGACUCCUAAGCGUGCAAGCCUAUGCACAUCUUUUUCUAACUAUCUCUUUUCUUCCUCAACAUGGGCGGUACUACCCAUAGACAACCUGCUCAACGCAUCAGCAACAACAUUAGCCUUACCUGGGUGAUAAAGAAUACUCAUAGUUCCCAUAUAUCAUUUUAAAGAAAAUGAUCUUUGCUCUUACUCUUUACUCAACUUCAAAACUUAAGUCUUAAAACAAAGUUAAAGCGUGUGUACAAGACUUAUGAAAACUUGAAAUGAAAUUUUCUUACUUGACUCUUGACUUCUAUUGACUUUGAUCUUAACUACUCUUAACUUGACUCUUAACUGAUCUUGACUUGACUCUUAACUGAUCCUUGAAUUGAAUUAUGGAUUCAAGGAUUAUGGUUGGUUUUUGGAAAGAUCUCAUGUUGUUUAAGAAUGAUUUUAGAUAGCUAAACAUGAGAAAAGACCAAAAAUCAAGAUUUGAAAGUGAGUCUGCGACGCGGAGGCAUAAUUAAAUUUUGGUUUCGAAAACGUCUUUUGAGGCAGAACACCUCGUGUCAGCUCUGCGACGCAGAGCAGAAUUUUUCAAUUCUGAGAACAGGUCGCGCGACGCGUUCCCAUACUCAAAUUUCGUCGAACGAAAUUUCUUCUUCGUUUGCGAGACCCAAAUCACCCAACCUCGGUUCUUUUUCUCAAAUAAACUUUAGAUACAGAUACCCAGCAAAUGUACCUAAGAACCUAGCUCGAAACGACUCUAUAAUGUGACAUAACAAACUCAGAAACUUAUCAAUUCAUCCCAAUUCAAGAACAACAUUCAAAUUCAAGAAUUCAUGUCAAGAACAUCAACUUUCAAACUCUUUUAGGACGAAUUUUGCUGAACUAAACAUGUUUGGCGCGUGGGUGAAUGAACUCAACGCUAUGAGAGACUCACAUACCUUGUAGGGCCAAUUCCUUGGCGAAUCCGCAACCAAAAUCGAUCGUUCUUGGCGAAUCUUGUUUUUCCUCUUCUCUUCUCCUGCGUUCUUUCUCCAAAAGCCCUAACUUUGUUUCUCCAAAGUGGAAACUGAACUAACUCAGUUUUGACCCCAACAAUUUUAUUAAAAAUGGAUUUAAUUAAUUGGGUAAGGAAAAGACCAAACUACCAUUCAAAAAUCCGGAUUGGGCAUUUCCUUAUUCGAACUGUCCAACUUCCAAAGGGCAUAACUUAUUCAUACAAACUCGGAAUUGUGUAAACUUGGCAGCUUUGGAAAGAUAAUUUCAAGAGCUUUCUAACCAUAUCUGGAACUACACCUAAAUCAUCCUGAGCUAGGAGUUAUAGUCGUUUGAAGUUGACCAUAAACUCACUUUAACUUACUUAAAAUUUUCCACAUAUCCUUAUAAUUUCCAAAAAUAACUAUUUCCUGAUUUUAAACUUCCUUCUAGUUCUUUCUAGUUGUGAGAUGUUACAAAGGACUUCUGAAAUUGUUUGUUUGAAAUCAACACUUGUUAAAUUUCUUAAUUUUCAUCCUUUUUCUAAUCUUUGUUGUUGAAAGAAACAGACUUAGGCUGUUUCAAAAAAAAAAAUCAAUACAUAUUUCUGGAAAAGGGAUUUUGAAAUUGUGUUGUUUGUAGCUAAACCCAUCUCCAUUUUCUUCUUUUUAUCUCGUUGGUGUGUUUGGUGCGGAAGAAAAUUGAUCAAUUUCAGGUUGAAAUACGAUAGUGGUGAGGGAAAAAGUGGGGUAGCUGGCAAUAAGAUAGAAAAAAGAAGUGGGGAUGGUGGCGGCAGUAGCGGUGGAACCGGUGGAAAGGGUCGUGGAAGAAAUUAGGCUUAAUUAUGGAAGAAGUAACAAGAAAGAGAUUUUAAAAAACAACAAAAAUGGUCUCUCACACGCUCAAUAGCAGUGUAAUGCACUUUCCAUGCCACAUUAGCGAAAAGUGUUAAUAGGUACUUGUUUUGAAUAAUAUAAGUGUUCAAUAUAUCAUAAUUUAGUAGAGGUGUUCAAAUGAAAUACGCAGACACCUUUAAGUGGUCGUCGGUGACUUAAGUCUAAUAUAUGAUGAUAUGAUAUAUAUUAUAUUUAUUAUUAUUAUUAUUAUCUUCUAUAUUACCUUAAAAGCAUGAACUCCUAACUUGAAUGUUAAAUUACUAUAAUAUCCCUAACUUAGGUUGUGACUUUUUUGAUGAGUUGUGACUUUUUUCGAAGGGUUGUGAUUUUUCGAUGAGUUGUGACUUUUCCAAAGAGUUGUGACUUUUUCAACGAGUUGUGACUUUUUCAAUAAGUUGUGACUUUUCCAAAGGGUUGUGACUUCUCGAAAAGGUCAUGACUUUUCAGAUAAGAAACAAAAAAUAUUUGUUCAUACUACCCUUUGUUCAUAAAACAUUUUUCAAUCACAAUUUUUUUAAUCUUCUACUCUUCUUCUUGCAUUUUAAAUUUUUUUGUGUGAUUUAUAGUCGUUGAGUGAGUUCCAAUAAGUUUUGACUUUUUAAAAGGGUUGUGACUUCUCGAAAAGGUCAUGACUUUUCAAAUAAGAAACAAAAUAACAUUUGUUCAUACUACCCUUUGUUCAAAACACAUUUUUCAACCACAAUUUUUUUAAUCUUCUACUCUUCUUCUUGCAUUUUAAAUUUUUUUGUGUGAUUUAUAGUCAUUGAGUGACUUUGAAGUUUAGCGGAAUAUGAGGUACCACUAUUCUGAUGAGGUAAGUCGUUCUAUCCUAAGAGGGUUAUUCCAUAACCUCAGGUACUUGAGGAAAAUAAUUUUGAUGAUAUAAUAAUUAAUUUUUUGCUUAAUAUAUACAUUAGUAUGUAAUGUUCCAAUAUAUGAAGUUAACAUGACAUACUCUAAAUUCAUUUUUUUUGUCAACAAUUUCUCUUGAUAUGUAGAUAUAUGCUUCUGAAUAUCUUUUCCAAAAUUUAGAGAUUUGUCAUGUUUUAUUUUUUAUGCUCAAGACAAAAGAAUGAUUUUAUUUAUCAAUGCUACUUAUGUGAUUUAAACUCUAAUGAAGUUUGCUUCAAAAUAGUUAUUACUAUAUAAACAUUGCCCUUUUGUUUUACUUAUUUACUAUUUCUGAAUAUUUCAGUAUUUUAGACGAAGAAAGGUUUAUAUGACGUGUAAUAACGCCAACUGAAGUUUGUAUUAGUUUAAUUUUUAUUAUUUAUUUAAUAGUUAAUUUUAUGAUAUAAAUUUUUUCAUUAAUGCAAUUAUAUAUUUAUAUUUGGGUAGGUAUUUGUAUUUAAAUUAAAGUAUUAUAUACGUAACAAAUGUAUUAUCAAGUUAACAAGAUCUUCUAACAUAAAAAUAUAUCAUUUUAAAAUGUUCCAAGUUGUUUUUUAAAAAAAAAAUCCCAACAAAUGUAAAAAUAUGUGAAUAUAGAAAAUGUAGUUGUUCUCUUCACAUGUUCAUAUGACAUCUAAACAAUUUAACGUGGAAUACACAUGCAAAGCACAUCUUGUUAGAUGACAAGAAAAAUACAAAGCGAAUAUUGUCUUUAAGGUAAUAUUAGUGAGAUAAGACUAAUAACAUAAUUGAACCUCAUCAAAUUGAAAUAUAUAUAUACAUUAUUGCAUUUAACUAAUAAUAUUUUUCAUUGAUCCUCUUUAUAGGUUUGCGUGAAUAAGAGAUGUAUAUGACGAUCCACGUUGAACAUUCACAAAAGAAUCUGCAAUAUUAUAUUUAUUAUUAUUAUUUAUACUAAAAGUGGGAAGCCUCUAUGUCUAAAGUUGAACUACGAAAAUACACAUAAAUAAUUGAUAACAAAUUUAAUUUAUUCUUCACAUAAUAAAAAUAAAGUUAAAAAACUGUAAACCAAAAAACCUUCACUGUGUACAUUGAAUCUAAAAGUAAAAAAUUGUUUCGUAUUCCCAGAAUAUUUAAUGCAUCUUUCAAUUGCUUCUUUAUUACAUGUAAUUAUUUCAUUAUUAAUGUUUUGUUUCUCUCAUCUUUGAUGAUGGUAAUAACCUUUUCAAAUUCUUUACAACAUUCUAUAACCUACGUACACUUUUAAUUGUCAUAGUUAUCAUUUUUAGAGUCAAACUAUAAAAACUUUAACCAACAUUUAUGUAUUUUUUUAUCAUAUCAAUAUGCAAAAAAUUGCAAUUUAUAGUACUUUUGUGUAGUUUUUGAGUAUCUAAAUUUUUUGUUUAAAAUAUUGAAUUAAAUAUAAUUUAAUUUUACUUUGAAAAUUAGUCAAAUUGACUUUCGAAAAGCGCAACAUGACAAAUAAAAGUGGACAGUGGGAUUGUAAUAUUAUUUGUGUCUUACAUACUUUUCACUAAUAUUUCAUACGGUUAUCUUGCCUAAAGUCCCUUUUUAUUUUGUAUAUAUUUGUGCUUUAUUUUCUGGCUUUGUAUUUUAUAAUAGAUUUGUUGGAUUGCAAUUAUUUUUGUCUUUUUGAUUAUAAUCUCUUGGAUUGUUUCUCAAAAGUUUUUCCUUUAGUAAUUUUGUGCUUUAAUAGCGAAGAUUUGGAUUAGAUUAUGAAAUGACAAUUUUUUGUAUUAAAAUUACAUAUGCUUGAAGAUAACGUCUACAUAGAAAUUGAAACUCUUGAUUCAAAAAAAUAAUAAUUAAAUAGUAGGUCUCACACUGUCUCUGUAGUUUGUGGUACAAAUAAUUAGUAAAUAACAGCAAGAGCAAGUAAGAUUAUUAUUUUCCAUAAAAGUUAUGUUUUUCACAAUUGUCAAGACGGGUAACUACAAACUAAGAAAUCUAUUUGGCAUCACACAUUUAUGUGACAACAGUUUGGUAAUAGCUUGGGCUUAGCACCAAACGGAGGCUAAUUAUUUUAUAUUAUUUUCAUUCUCUUGAAUAAUUGUCAAGUCUCACAAUAACUUUUUAGAGAUAUAUAAGUACAUUAUAUUGUAUAGCUUAAUUAGUAGGAACAUAACAUAGUAUAACUUCUGAGUUUAUUCCUAAGGAUUUAAGAAUAUGUAAUUAUGAUAAAUUUUUAUACAUCUUGAACUUCUAAUAUAUAUCUCAAUUAAAUACUUCUAAAAUAUGUAUAACAUUUUAUAACUAUAGAUAAACCGUUUAAAAAUAAUACGAUGGGUUACACGUGAAAUUAGAAGUAGAAGGCCCUCAAGUUAAAAAUUGAAUUAUCAAAAUGUCCUUAUAAAGUUAUGACACAAAUGUAAAUGUACAUUAGUUGUAUUAAAUAUUAUCACAUUCUAUAUAACACUAUUGCUAUAUAUUUAUGAAUAAAAAUAUAAAUACACAAACACACACAUAUAUACACACACGCCCGCGACUUUUUCACUUCACUUAAAAUUACUCUUACAAUAAUUUAUACAAAAAUUGAAAAUAUAUAUUGUAAUAAAAAGAAGAAAAUUAAUUGACAAUAAAUACAAAUUUUAUGUCUCUUUAUAUUCUCGUGAAUCACGAGUUUGUAUUUGAUGUAGCUAUUAACUUUCUCUUAUUUUCAUCAGUCUCGCUUACUAUAUAUAUAUUUAGAAUAACUUUAGAUUGUAGAAUUAUUUUUCAUUUUGGUGCUUGUUUUAUCUAUAUACUACCUCCGUCCACUUUUACUUGGCAUGUUGCACUUUUCAAAAGUCAAUUUGACUAAUAUUCAAAGUUAAAUUAGAUAACAUUAAUUCGAUAUUUUAAACAAAAAAAUUAGAUAUUCAAAAAUUAUGUGAGAAGUACUAUGAAUUUCAAUUGUUUGCAUAUUAAUAUGAUGAAAAAAUACAUCGUAAAAUGUUAGUCAAAGUUCUUAUGGUUUGACUCUAAAAAUGGAAACCAUGACAAUUAAAAGUGGACGGAGGGAGUAAUAAUUAAGAUCUAUAAUUUAGAAUAUCGAUUAUUUCCUAUACAAUUUUCACUUCCAAUUUAUUUAUUUAUUUUCUUUAUUUUCUUUUAAUGCUGUAUAUAAUCAUGUGUAUUAUAAUGUAGUGUUGUCACAAGAUUGAACAAUGAAGUAUUUUUGUUCAAUUGUCAGAUAUCAUAUUCACAUAUUUUGAACUUAACUAUCAAAUAGCUAGAAAAGUAUCACUUUCAUGUUUCUUUUUGUCUUUUAUUACUCAAUAUGUGUUGCAAUAAUCUUAGAUAAUUAUGUAAAAUCUUGUACAAGAUAAAGAUGUCCUCUAUGGUACAAUUUGCCUCAACAAAAACUGUACCUUUUCCAUUGCAGUUUACAAUAAGCUUUAUUCUUGGCUGAUUGUGAAUCUCUCUGCUAGUGGAUAAUAGUUCGUGGGACAACUGGACAUGCUAAGGAUCUUUAGCAACUUACACUCCUAACCAGUCACUUGAUCAGGAUUCAAGUGAAAACUUCAUCAACAAUCAGGUUAGGUUAGGGAUGAACAGAGACUUCAAAUCGUGUUGUCACAGUUGCUGGUUCAACAUACAACCAAUGUAAAAAUUGAUUCCAGUAGCAGAAGUGAUAUCUUGAUUUGGAGGCUACUAGUCAGUGACAGAGCUAGAAUUUUCAUUAAGGGUGUUCAAAUUUUGAAGAAGUGGACACACGAACUAUCUGAAGGGGGUUCUACAUCUACUAUAUAUAUAAAAAUUAUUCUAACCAUGUAUAUAGUAUAAUUUUCCGCCAGAUGAACCCCCUUGACCACAAGGUGGCUCUGCCCCUGCUACUAGUGAUGUUGUAUAAUUCAGUUUGGAAUUGCAUAAGGGAAACUAGAGUGCCAGAUCCUAAGUGGACAAAAAAUUGACAUAAAAGUAUUCCAUUGAAAACGACUUUCUUGUCUUGGAGACUCACUCUUUAAUAAUGUUAUAUGUCGGUUUGGAAAUGGAAGCCCUCUAAACAGCCUAUGUUGUACUAUACAUAUUCCAGAAACUAUCAAGCUCCUCUUCAUUGAUAGUGAAGUGAGCCUGCAAAACAUUUGUGGAAUUUUUUUGGACAACAGUUGGGAGUCUUCCUCCACGAGUGGUGGCAGACACCUAGACAGAAUGCAAUACACAGAUUCAGCAAAUUCCAAUAUUAGUUUGGUGGGAGUUGUGGAAGACAAUGUUCUCUUCUAGAUAUGGAAACAAAACAGAUUUUAGAAAAACAAAGAUGCUAUGGACAAAGCUUUCCAACUUCAGAAAAUGGAUCUUCACUAGAGUGAACUAUGUCAAAUGGUAGAAAAGUUGAGACCAAGUAUUAAUCGCAAAUUGUGGUCUGGAACAAACUGUAACAGAGGAUAAUUAAACUUAACACAGAUGAAAGUUUUAUGAAGGAAAGGCUGGCAUAGUAGGAGGCAUGGCCAGAGACAACACUGGAGAGUUCAUCUUUGCGUUUUCUAUUCCUAUUCAGUGUAAAGAUAUUAUGUUGCUGAGGCAGCAGCUUCUAAGUAUGUUGUUCAGCAGCUGAAGAAUAAUGGGCAUCAACAGGGCAUAAUUGAUUGGAAUGCUCGAUCAUGGUUCAUAUGAUGAAGAAUAGAACCUCUCAAAACCUCAACCUGAAGAGUAUCGUGCAUGAGAUUGCUAAUUAAAUUGGGAAUGCUUUUUUUGCUUUGCUCAUUGCUACAGAGAAGCAACAUAGUGGUUAAUCGUCUUGCUAAAUUACCUUCAACAAGGAAUGAACCCAUUUUAUAAAACAGGAUAGAUCAAUUGCCUAGUGGGGUUAAAGGAGCUUAUUUGCUGGACAAGACACAAUUACCUAGCAUAAGGAUAAGAUACGACAAACACCACUUUUUUGUAUGCUAGUUAAAGGAGCUAAUUUGCUGGACAAGAUGCAAUUACCAAGCAUAAGGAUAAGAUAUGACAAAUACAAUUUUUUUGGAAGUUAAUUUGUAUAGCCUUUAGAUAUGCAGGAAGGUAAAAUAGUGAUAUGCUUAAACAUUCUCCUUUUGCCUGGAUUGCUUUGCGAUUUCUGAUGUGUAUUUUGGGUUAAGGCCAAGUCCCCAUUUUUAUGCUUCUACAUAAUUUAUAUACAUCGUCAAGAUCACAAUACAUGAUUUAUUUAUUUUUUUUAAAAAAUCUUUGACAAAGUUUUCCUGAUCACUUCAGCAGCAUUCUCAGUCCCAUUUUAUUCUAAUUUGAAACAGGUAAAUUUUCCGGACCAACACAUCUAUAAUUGAUCAAGAUUAAGAUCCUCAUAGUGCUGAAAAAUUAUACAUGGCAUUCUAAAACUAUCGAGCUACGAGUUCGGAUCGUAACCUAAAUUAACUAUUGAAUUGAACAUAAAUUAAUACAAAUUGAUCAAAAAAGACAAUGUAAAAUAAGCGUCAAAUAAUACAUUGAUCGUAAAUUAUUGUACUUAUUUCCUUUCUACUAAGCGGGUUCCGUAGAGUUGAAUACUUAUAUGAAUAGAGAGGAAAACAAACUUUCCCUUUCUGCCAAAAAUGUGAUUUUUAAAGUUGUUUAUUUACCUCUUUUAAUACGUCAAACUUAACAUUCUUCUCUUUUAGACGCUUGAAAUACUUUCAAAAAUAAUUGAUAACAUACAAACCUACCGUCAUCAUAAUGCAAUUGUCUGCCAUGAAAAGUCACAACCACCAACUUUCGCCGUAUAAGUUUUACUUUGAUGUUCUUGAGCCAUUGUUAUGGAUCUGCGUUCGCCAACCAGGUGGCUCAAGAUUUUUUUUUCUUUCAACAUAAGUGUGUAUCGUUCAAAUGAACUAAUUGAAAAUGUUCUUACGCUAUAUUUACUGCUCUUUUUAUAGAUGACAACACCAAAGCACGGGGGAAACAUCAAAGGAAAGGGUAAAUUGCCAAUCAAAUACAAACAAAAUACGACAAUACGACUAUUGUUAGAAUAUGCACAACGGAAGCUAUAUUCAGGAUCGCAAAUCUUACAUGUAGACUAAACAAUAUAACAUGAACGAAUUUAGAAGAAGACUAACCUGUUGAAGCUUCUACAAAAGUCAUCCAGAUGCCAAGGAUCUAGAGUUACGAUCUUCUCCUAUUUCCUGAUUGAUUGUUACUACCAAGUUACUUGUGUGGGUAAGUAUUACUUGUUUUUAAGAUGAUUUCUUUCAUGUCACAUCCAGCCUAUUUAUACUAGUUUUCCAACUCAAGAAUGAAUAGGAAAAACUAAAUAAAUUUCAGGCUUAAUGAGCAAUCAAGAGGAUCAUUCAAAAUGAGAAUAAAUUGAGAUUAAAACAAAAAAUGUUUUCAUCCAUUCAAGGCCAAACGUUUUUGUCAUUAACUCAAUAUUUAACUCUCAAAUAAUUCAUCCUUUAAAGAAGAUCAACAAUAAAUUAAUUUUGUCCUUCUUUUCAAACUUGGACAAUUAAUCAGGCAUAGUAGGGACCGUAGAUAUAUUUAAUAGAGGCUUCCAAUUACGAUAAUAAUUCUCAAAUGAACGAAUUAACCAUAUCGCAAUAAAUUACAAAUUAUUCCACUAAAAAUACUGUAAUUGCACUCCUCGAUUUAAUUUCGAAAUCUACCACUACAUCUUAUUUAACCCCAUGUGUUAGAAUUACCGACACCAAUCAAUUAAAUCAAAAUUUUCUGAAAAUUUAAUUCAUUGACUAAAUUAAUCCUUUAUUAUAUUUACUUAACUUAUUUCACAUGACGGAUAUAAAAUCCACCUGCAGGGUUUUCACAUGAAAACUUAUAAGAAACCAUAAAGGGGUGUCUUCAACUCGGGACCAAGACACGGUUCUAUCAACUAAUUAUUAUUUCACUAAAGUAAUUUGUCAUUAUCUAAUCUAUUAGGAAUUUAUUGACUCAUCAAAAAGUCUCACCUUUUAAUAGAUUAAAACAAUAAAAUAAAUUACAUAGAUCAUAAUAAUUAUAUCAAGAUUAAGAGUAUAAGUACAUGUAGUGGACUAGAGAAUUUAUUUAUAAAUAUUCAGAACAUAAACAAAUGUCUCUAAUUGGUCCGUUCAAUACAUACAAAAUGUACUAGCACAAGAAGUUGAAAUUUAACCAUUAUCAUAAUUAAGAUCAAAUUAUAUUUAAUCUUGUGCUACGAUCAUCAAGUUGUUCGUCCUACUUCAUCUUUGAUCAUGAACAUAAAUUUAUAACUUAUAUGCACCGAUAAUUUUAAUUUUCCGCGUAUGAGUUAAAAUACUCCAUACACAAAAUUGUCUACUAUAUAAGCAAUGGACACACAUAUAUACAUAAUGAUCUAUUUAAACAAAAAUUUAUUAUAUUAAAUAAAUAACAUAAAAAAUAGUUACAAGGGAUUAAAUAAAAAUACUACAACACAAUUACAUGGUUAAUAGUAUAUCCCAACAACUAUAAGCAAAUUGGAAUGCCCAAUAUGCAUAGAAUUGAUUGACGAGAAGUUGACCGAAGCUAGAGAGCACAUUAAAGCCUGUGAAGAAAAAAGGUAAGUUCAAACUGAUUAUUCUGUAACGCAUGAACUUAUACAACAUAAAUAGGGUCUAUUCAAGUACAAAUCCACGAGAUCUUAAUUUCUUGCUCAAGGUCAUAUGCAAUACUGUUGAGUUGCUACAAUAGUAUGACCUUAAAGCCAAUGUAUAACACGAUCUCGGAUGCAGAGUUUGUCAAUCUUGACAUAUCAGGGAAGCAUAGAUGAUACAACAUGAUCAUGUGGGAAACUACUAAGGAGAUGGAACACAGGCAACACAAGCCUUGAUGUGGUCUUUCCACCUGUUCGUGAAAACUGUUUACAAGAAAGGCAACUUAUGUGUACAUGCACGUGAGUAAUAUAUUUACUAUCUUUAUCCGUAAGUUUAUUAUAUAUGCAUGUCCAUGUAAAAAAUAUUUUUGUAGAUUUAUACGUGCUUCAAACUCAAGGUGAUGGUUUUGGAUAAACCCGCCUAACUAAAUUUGUCUAUGAACAGGAGCCGAGGCUUUGUUCCUUGACCAUUUUAUACCUUUUAAUACGUGGGACCCUCUCGGUUCUAGGUAGCGACAUAAUUGAUUUACUCAGUUUUUCCUUUCAUAUUCACUUUUUAAAAUAAAACCUUUUAUUCACAUACGCAAAUUUCAUUUCACUGCGCUGUGACAGUUCUGAUGAUAUUCAACUACAUAAUUUAUUUCAAGACCCGAUGCAAAUAUAUUUGGGUAUUCUGAUACGUAGAGAUAGAUUACAGUACAAAGUCUAGUUUUCUUCUUUGCUAAAAUUUCCUAUUAGAAGGCGAAGCCAAGAUUAAGAGUUUGGGGGUUCACAAGUUAAUAUAUAUAAAUUUAAUUAAUUUUCUAAUACAAAUAUAGAAUCUACGAAAAGCUAGUGGGUUCGUCGAACCCAUGAACCCCCACCUAGCUCCGCCUAUGAUUAGAAGUCCUGAAGUUAAGGGAGAAUUAGUUUUGUAAGACACUUACAAAUUAUUCUCUCAAUCAAUUAGAAUAAAGCAAAGGAUACAAUAUCUAGUAGUACAAAUUGAAUAAGGAAAAGGUCAUUGAAAACGAAAGAAAAAGGAAACGAAAAAAACUUAAAAGAGGUUACUUCGUUCUCUUCUCUCUCAACUUUUUCUUAAUAUUACUUCAAAUUCGAUGUGUUAAACAAGUUAGCCACGUGGAGCCAUUGCGCCAGAUCCUGGCCGGUGGCAUCGAUGGUGGCGAACGGCGUUUUUUGGUUGGAAGCAGAUGAGCAUUGCAUUAACAUGUAAACUGAUCUUGGGCAUAUUUAUAUGCCCAAGUUGUCAAUAAUUGCCCAUGUUUUGGUUGAAUUAAUAAAUGAUCUUCAAUUACUAAAUUGAUUUUUAUGUGUCUUGCAAUGAUUGUAUACUAACACACAUGAUUAGGUGUUUCAGGAAUAUUGGAGUUAAUAUGAAGAAAGAAGGAGCAAAGACGUGCGAAAAAGAAGCUAAGGCUGAAGACCCCAGGGCCAGGAGCACUACUAGGUGUGAGGCGCCAAGGGUCAACAUUCAUAGUCCUCUCUCAGGCAUACUGAGAGGCGCGAUGCUCCAAGGGCCAACAUUCUAAGGCCCUUCUCAGGCGCUCUAAAGGGCGCAACGCGCCAAGAGCUGAAAUUCUGGGACGCUUGCCUGGUGCACUGCCAGGCGCGACGCGAAAAGGUGGAAACUUCAUAAGUGAAGUGUGGGCGCGAUGAGAGGCGCUAAACCCCAGUGUUAUCCCAACUUUUUCAGCUUAAAAAGUGUUAAAUAGGAUUCCUAAUUGUAGUAGCCUUUGACUCCAAGUUUUACAACUCUUAUAAAUAGACCAUUAGGGCUCCAUAGUUAGGGUUCGACUUUUUAUUGGUGUGCAAGAGAAAGUAUCAACGUUUGUAAUAGGUUUUGAUCUUCUAACUCUUCUCUUUUCCAGAAAUCGCAUGAACAAUUGUAUUUUGUGGUUUUCUAAUAGCAUGAGUGGCUAAGCGCCCUAGUUAUAGGCUGUAGCUACGAAUUGAAUGUUGAUUAUUUAAGGCUUUUUCAAUUAAUUCUUGGUUGUCAUUAUAAGUUACUUUUAUAUUCUUGUUUUAGUAUUUCUUGACUGGCCAUCAAGAGAUAAAUCUAUUGUCUAAUUUUAAAAUCGAGAAAGAAGGGGUUAGAUAGACCAGAGAAUAUAGAGAGCUCGAUCGACCAAUUUGAUUGAGGUGAUUAGUGUUCAGGAGUGACGCUCGGAUGAACAACUUGCUUGGUUACGAAAUAGGAUGAAAUAUAAAUGCUUGCCAGUUAGUCUAUUUAUCCCCGCUCAAUGAUAUAGUUAGAUAACUAACUGGAGUAGGCGAAAAGAAGUGUGUAACCCGACUCAUACAAUUAACCCUAUAAACCAGUAACUUGACAACUAAAAUUAGUUCUAAGCCGAUAAUAUGAUAUAUGAGAUUCAUUGCAGGUUGCAGCCCUGGAAUUGUCUUUUACUUGCUUGGAACAUCAUCUUAACGUCGUUGACAAUUUGUUACUUUUAUUUGUUGCAACAUUAGUAGUAGUUAACAAUAGGGCUGGGCAGAAACACCGAAAAACUAAAAUACCGAACGAACUGAACUAUUUCAGUAUUUCAGUUUCGGUAUUUUGGUUUUCGGUUCGGUAUUCGGUGUAUGUUUUUGUAUUUUUCGGUAUUUCGGUUCGGUUUUCGGUAUGUAAUUUUUGUGUUAUUCGGUAUUUUGAUUUACCGAAAUAUAUUAUAUUAAAUAAUAAAUAUUAUAAUUUUAAUUAAAUUAGGUCAAAACUCUUAGUACAGUAGUACACCUUUUGGUCUUUUCAAAUUUUUUAAUUUUCUAACUUUCUAAGCAGCAACCGAACAAUUCUUAAGUUCUAUCACUACGCACAGUUCCACUUUCGACUUUCGAGUUCCCUCGUCUUUUCCACUUUGGCACAGUUCAACUUUCGGCGACUGGUGUCAACCAGCAGCAGCCACCAGUCCCGUCGACCAGCAACACGCACAGUAGUAGCAGCCGCCAGCCAACAGCCCCAGUCAACCAGCAGGGCGCAGGCAGCAGCAGGCACAGCAGCCGACCUCACCGCGCAGCAGCCGGUGACCGGCAAGCGACAACCAUCAGCUUUCAGGUAUUUUUUUCUUAUAAAUAUAUAAAAAUAAUUUUAAGUUUUUGACAUGCAUUUAGUCAAUUACUAGAGAAUAUUUUACUACAUUUGGAUUUUGGUCUAUCCAUUAAAAUAAACUAAUAAAGAUUUCAGAUUCGUAUUAUUUUUAAUUUUUAUAUUUAAACUCUAUUUUUUUUUAUUUUGAUUUGCUCAUUUGUAUAAUUGUAAUUUCCAGCAAAGGGUCAAAUCUCAGACCAAAACAAAAAAGAGCAAAAGUAAUAAAGAAAAAGAAACCACAAUGAAAAAUGCAACCAAUUAUCACUUUAUUUUCCUUAUUUGCUCCUUAAUAUUCUAAGUGUGAAUUCAUUGUGAAAUAAAUUUUUUUAUUAUAUAGAUGGCUGAACAAAAUCAAUCAAAUGUGGGUGUGGCUGAUCAAAGUCGAAUAAGUAUGGCUGGUUCUACGGAUAAUGCACCUACUAAUAACAAUGAUGCCUCAAUUGGCACAGAGGAAACAAAGCAAAAAAAGAAAAGAAAUGGAUCCUAGGUCUACUGUUUGGCAAUACUUCGAUUUUUUAAAAAAAAUGGUUUAUUAGUUAAAGCAAAGUGUUUACAUUGUAAACAAAACUAUGCUGCUAAUACAACUAGAAAUGGAACAAGUGGAGUAAGACAACAUUUGACUAACCGAUGUAAAGUGUAUAAGCCCUCGCCUGUUGCACCUGACAUUCAAAAAUUGCUAAAUAUUCAAAGUAACAGUUCUUCGAUAGAGACUUGGAAAUUUGAGCAAGAGGUAUGUAGGAGAUCUUUAGUUGAGAUGAUAAUUUUGGAUGAACUACCUUUUAGUUUUGUUGAAAAAGGCUUUAAGAAGUUUAUGAGUAAAGUCCAACCUUUGUUUCGGAUUCCUUCUCGUAGAACCAUAACAAGGGAUUCUUAUGAAGUUUAUGGUGAAUUGAGAAUGAAUUUGAAAAAGUAUUUUAGAGAAAUAGAACAAGAAUUUGUCUCACAACAUACACAUGGACCUCGGUGCAAAGAAUCAAUUAUAUGUGUUUGACUGCUCACUUUAUUGAUAGGGAUUGGGUGCUUCAUAAAAGAAUAUUGAAUUUUUGUCCUAUCACUAGUCAUAAAGGUGAUCAUUUGGCUGAGUGUAUUAGUAAUUGUUUACUUGAUUAGAACUUGCACAAUGUCUUUACUGUUACAGUUGAUAAUGCCUCUUCAAAUGAUGUGGCAGUUUUAGAGUUGUCCAAAAAAUUAGAUAUGUGGGGAACUAAUAUGAUGGAAGGUAAGCAUCUCCAUGUGAGAUGUAUGGCUCACAAACUUAAUUUAAUUGUGCAAGAUGGUUUGAAAGAAAUUGGUCCUUCUAUCAAACGGGUGAGACAAAUGGUGAAAUAUGUUAGAUCAUAGACAAAUGGUGAAAUAUGUUAGAUCAUCUUCUACAAGGACAAGAAACUUCUUGAAAUGUGUUGAAAUGCAAAAGAUAGAAUGUGAUAAAAUGUUGUCUUUAGAUGUGCGUACUAGGUGAAAUUCCACCUAUUUGAUGUUGGACAUGACAUAAAAGUUUGAAAAGGCUUUUGAGAGGUUUAAUCUUUAUGAUGGUAAUUUUAAUUCUUUUCCUGCUACUACUGAUGUUUGUGAAGAUGGAAGUAUUGAAGGUUCAAUUCAAUAUGGGAUUGGGCUAAUGUGAGGAAUAUCACAAAGUUUCUUGAAAAAAAUUAUGAGCUCACAUUGAAUGUUCCAGGUUCACGGUAUGUUACUUGUAAUGUUCAUUUCGAGGAUAUAUGAGAGCUUGAUGCAUAUUUGAAAGUAUGUAUGACAAGUGAUGAUGUUGAUUUGAGUAAAAUGGCUUCGGGGAUGAAAGAAAAGUUCAAGAAAUAUUGGGGUACUCCAGAAAAGAUGAACACAAUGCUUUUUAUUGCUUCUGUUUUGGAUCCUCGCAAUAAAUUUAUGUAUGUUAGUUUUGCUCUUGAAGAAUUACUUGGGGAAGAAAAGGGAAAGAUAGUGAAUAAUGAAGUAAAUGCUUACUUGAAGAAUUUGUUUGUGAUCUAUGUAAGUAAGUAUGCAAAAUGUUCUAAAAAUCAAUCAUCUUCAUCUGAUUCAUCUACUUAUGGUCUCUCUCAAAAUGUGAAAACAAAUUCUUUGAGAACUAAGUUUUACAUGAAGAAACAUAAGGAAGAUUCUGGAAGUUUAGGUGUUAAAUUUGAGUUGGAUAGAUAUCUUCUUGAAGACCAAUAGCUUGAAUCUGAGGAUUUUGAUAUUUUGAUUUGGUGGAAAGUUAAUUCUCCUAGAUUUCCUAUACUUUCACAGUUGGCUCGAGAUGUAUUGACUAUUCCUAUGUCGAGUGUGGCUUCGGAAUGUGCAUUUAGCACGGGUGGUCGUAUUCUUGAUCCAUUUAGAAGUUCAUUGACUCCCAAAUGUGUGCAAUGCCUUAUUUGUGUUCAAGAUUGGCUUAGACAAGAAACUAAGCCUAUUUGUGUUGAAGAAAGUUUGGAGUUUCUUGAAAAAAUUGAACUUGAUAAGACUUUUAUUUUUUAUUUGUUUUUGGAAAAAAUACAAUACUUAUUGUGUUGUAUGACAUAUUUGAUUUUCUUAUUUAUAGAGAUGGCAAAUAACUCUUUCAUUGUUGAUCUAUGAUUGGCUUGCAAGUCUCAAAUAUUUAAUAGUGGUGAGUUUAGUACGUCAUUUAUUUAAUCUUAUCUUUUUUUUUAAUCUUAAAAGUAGUAUUCUAACAUUUAAUUUUAUCUUAAAAGGUCCAAGAGUCAAGACAAUGAAGAAAGACGUAAAGUACUAAGUUUUGUUAGUAUUUUUGUUGGCACUUGAGACUUGAAAGUGGUCUCAUGGAAGAAAGUCAAGAAACUACAUUGUUGCUCAUUAUUGUUAUUUGUUAUUGUUGGCACUUGAAACUUGAAAGUGGUCUCAUGGAAGAGGCUACAUUGUUUGUUGUUCAUUAUUGUUGUUCGUUAUUGUUGGCACUUGAAACUUGAAGGUGGUCUCAUGGAAGAAGCUACAUUGAUUAUUGCUCAUUAUUGUUGUUUGUUAUUGUUGACACUUGAAACUUGAAGGUGGUCUCAUGGAAGAAGCUACAUUGAUUAUUGCUCAUUAUUGUUGUUUGUUAUUGUUGACACUUGAAACUUGAAGGUGGUCUCAUGGAAGAAGCUACAUUGAUUAUUGCUCAUUAUUGUUGUUUGUUAUUGUUGACACUUGAAACUUGAAGGUGGUCUCAUGGAAGAAGCUACAUUGAUUAUUGCUCAUUAUUGUUGUUUGUUAUUGUUGACACUUGAAACUUGAAGGUGGUCUCAUGGAAGAAGCUACAUUGAUUAUUGCUCAUUAUUGUUGUUUGUUAUUGUUGACACUUGAAACUUGAAGGUGGUCUCAUGGAAGAGGCUACAUUGUUUGUUGCUCAUUAUUGUUGUUUGUUAUUGUUGACACUUGAAACUUGAAGGUGGUCUCAUGGAAGAAGCUACAUUGAUUAUUGCUCAUUAUUGUUGUUUGUUAUUGUUGACACUUGAAACUUGAAGGUGGUCUCAUGGAAGAAGCUACAUUGAUUAUUGCUCAUUAUUGUUGUUUGUUAUUGUUGGCACUUGAAUAUUGAAAGUGGUCUCAUGAAAACUACAUUGGUGCAUUAUUGUUACUUGUUAUAUUGUUAAUAUGUUGUUGUGUAAUGGCAUGAUCAAUUGAUUAUUGUAUUUGUGAAGUGUAGCGAAGUUUAAUUACUUGUUAAAUUGUUACUUGUUACUUGUUACUUGUUAGUGCCUUUUGGCCUAUUUGAUAGUGCCUUUUUGGCCUAAAACUGCCACAUCUUUUCGUAUUAUUAUGAGGAUUCUUUCAUUUUGAUUCGAUUUUCGAGGGGGAUAAAAAUGGAUUUAAAUGUUUCCUUGUAUUCAGGAAAUUAAAGGUUGAUAGUUUAAUUGAGUUGCCCUACAUUCAUUGAGUAAAAUUAUGGUAUUUUAUAAUAAUGUUAAAGAGAAUUGUAUCACAACUCUUUGCCUAUUUGUGUAAUUGUGUUGAACUUUUUGAAAGAAAAAAAGGAACAAUGAUAACGGCAAGUGUGGAACUACUCACAAGGCUUUUCUAGUAGUAUUUAAUUUAAAUUUAUAAUUUAUUGGCAUUUAGACUUUUAGUAGUAUUUUAAUUAUAAUUUAUUAACAAGGGCAAAUUUCAAUGAUAACGGCAGUUUAGUAGUUAGUACUUUGAAUCAUACAAUAAUUUAAAAAACAGAGUAAAAUAAGCAAAAAGAAAUAAAUAUAAAUAAAAUAAACAAAAAAAUUACAAAUUUUAAAAAGCCCACUAAGCAGGCCCAUCACAAAAAAACCGAACCAAACUUAAAUAAUAAAAACCGAAUCGAACCGAAUUAUUUCGAUUCGAUGUUCGGUACGCGUUGUACAAGAACCAAAAACCGAAAAAACCAAAAAAAAAAACCAAAACCAAACUGAAAUGCCGAAUGCCUGGCCCUAGAUCAGGCACUCUAGUUUCCCUUAUGCAAUUCCAAGUAUAAUUAUUUGAAUGGACAUCAUCACUAGUAGCCUCCAAAACCAUGAAAUCACUUCUACUACUGGAAAUCAUGAGUUGAUUUCUCACAUGGUCACUGAACUAAUAGUUAUUAUCUUAGAAAGUCACUUGUUUUUUGUUGAAAAAAAGGAAUCAAGAAGGAAGAUAGUGUUCUGAUAUAAUAAUUAUUAGUUGAGUGACCACCUGAGAAAUCAACUUAUUAUACCUCAUAAACAUACUACCUGAGCCACCAGGGGAGGCAUUUCUAGAAUGUUUUUACCACCAAGGAUGUCAUAAACAAGCUUGCCCAGUGUAACAAGGAUCAGGCUUAGUAUUAGUACCAUUAAAUGAAGAAGAGUUGCAUAGUUAGUGACAGAUCUAGGAAAAUAAUAAGAGGAUUCGAAAAGGAGGCAUCUGUCUUAGGCCUCAAAAAAUUGAGGGGACCCCAUUUUUCAGUAAUAAUAGAAUUAUUAUAAGUUGUUUAAAAAAAUAAUAAUCUCUCUUGCAGUUUAUUUGUCUAACUUUAUUUUAGUUCGUUUCGAAACACUAAAGAAUGUUUCUUUCUUUUUAUCAAUUUUAAAUUUAACUUUCCACCUGACAUGUUUAAGAACACAAGAUUAAUAUAUAUAUAUAUAUAUAUAUAUAUUACCUUAAAAGCAUGAACUCCUAACUUGAAUGUUAGAUUACUAUAAUAUUCCUAACUUAGGUUGUGUCUUUUUAGAUGAGUUGUGACUUUUCUGAUUAGUUUUGACUUCUCUCAAAGGAUUGUGAUUUUUCGAUUAGUUGUGACUUUUCCAAAGAGUUGUGACUUUUUCAAUAAGUUGUGACUUUUCGAAAGGGUUGUCACUUUUGGGAAAGGUCAUGAUUUUUCAGAUAAGACACAAAAAACACUUCUUCAUACCUCCCUUUGUUGACUAUAAAUAGAGCGAUUUCCUCCCAUUUUCAACCACAAUUUUUUAAAUCUUCUACUCUUAUUCUUCUUGCAUUUAAAAAACUUCGUGUGAUUUAUUAUUGUUGAGUGAGUUCAAAGUUUAGCAUAAUAUGAGGUACCACUAUUCUGAUGUAGUAAAUUGUUCUAUCCUAAGAGGGUAUAAUCCUUACCCUCGAGUACUUGAGGAAAUAAUUCUAAUGAUAUAAUAUGUUUUUUUGCUUAGUAUAUACAUUAGUAUGUAAUGUUCCACUAUAUGAAGUUAACAUGAUGUAAUCUAAAUUCAUUUGUUUUUGUUAUCAAUUCUAUUGUGAUGUAGAUAUAUGCUUGUUAAUAUAUUUUUUUCAAAAGUAUUAAACUUCUCAAGAGUUAGAGAAUUGUCACGAUUUGUUUUUUGAUGAUCAAGACAAAAGAAUGACUUGAUUUAUCAAUGCUACUUAUGUGCUUUAGAUUGUCAGGAAGUUUGAUUAAAAAUAGUUAUUACUAUGUAAACAUUGACCUUUUGUUUUACUAAUUUACUAUUUCUAAAUUAUUUCAGUAUUUUCGACGAAGAAAANNNNNNNNNNNNNNNNNNNNNNNNNNNNNNNNNNNNNNNNNNNNNNNNNNNNNNNNNNNNNNNNNNNNNNNNNNNNNNNNNNNNNNNNNNNNNNNNNNNNNNNNNNNNNNNNNNNNNNNNNNNNNNNNNNNNNNNUUUUUUGAUGUUCAAGACAAAAGAAUGACCUUAUUUGUCAAUGUUACUUAUGUGCUUUAGACUGUCAGGAAGUUUGAUUAAAAAUAGUUAUUACUAUGUAAACAUUUCCCUUUUGUUUUACUAAUUUACUAUUUCUAAAUUAUUUCAGUAUUUUCGACGAAGAAAACUUCAUAUAACUUCUAAUAACGCCAGUUGAAGUCUAUAUUAGUUUAAUUUUUAUUAUUUAUUUAAUAGCUAAUUUUAUGAGAUAAAUAUAUUCGUUAAUGCAUAUAAAUAUAUAUAUAUAUAUAUAUAUUGGUAGAUAUUUAUAUAUGUCACAAAUGUAUUAUCAAGUUAACAACCAUUAUUCUUGGACACUCUUAAUAAAAUUUCUGGCUCCGCCACUGCCCCUAUAAAUGUGACAACACGGUGUUGUUAUUUUCCUUGGACGAAUCCUGCUUGGUUGAAUAAAUUAAAAAUUGUUUACAAGUAUAUGAGCUAUAUCUUUAUUGGGUGUAAGAUAAAAUGUGAAUAUAUAUAUAUGAUUUCACAGAUAGAAUAUAUCUAUAUUUUUAAUUACAAGUUUUUCGGUAAAAAAGGAAACCUUUCUCAAUUAACUAUGGACAGUCAGAUAACUAUCUUUGAUUUAUAUACACAGAAAAUCGAGAAGUCAAAUAUGAGAGCCAACAAAAACAACGUCAUUCAUUAUGUUAUAACUUAUAAAAUAAAAUUACUAUACAAAAAUACUUCUAAAAAUAAAAUGUAGUUGUUCUCCACAUGUUCAUAUGACAUCUAAACAUAUUAAGUGGAAUACACGUGCAAAACACAUCUGGUUAGAUGACAAGAAAAACACACAACAAAUAUCGUUUAUAAGGUAAUAUUAGUGAGAUACGACUAAUUACACAAUUGACCCUCAUCAAAUUGAAAUAAAUAUGUACAUUAUUGCAUUUAACUAAUAAAUUUUUUCAUUGACUAUCUUCAUAGGUUAGUGUGAAUAAGGGAUAUAUAUGACGAUCCAUAUUGAACAUUUCACAAAAGAAUCUCUAAUAUUGUUUUGUGCAAAGCUUGUUAUUCAAAUCUUGGUUUAAAUUUUCUGAAUUGAUAAUCACGUGCAACGCACGUGUCAAAAAUCUAGUACUAACUUAAAAGCAUGAACUCCUACAUUGAAUGUUGAAUUACUAUAAUACCCUCAAGUAAAAGUACUCAAUUUAUUUUAUUUAUUAAUUUAAUUAUUUAUAUUAUAUUAAAUGUAGAUACCCAUUCAUAUUAAAAGGGUUGUGAUUUUCUCAAAGAGAUGUGACUUUUCCGAAGGGUUGCAACUUUUUAGACGGGUUUUGACAUUUUCGAUGAGGUGACUUUUUCAAAGGGUUGUGAUUUUUUCAAAGGGUUGUGACUUUUCCGAAGGGUUGUGCCUUUUUCGAUGAGUUGUUACUUUUGCAAAAUGUUGUGAUUUUUCCGAUGAGUAGUGACUUUUUCAAAAGGUUGUAACUUUUCUGAUAAGGAACAAUUAGCACCUAUUCAUACUACUAUCUGUUAGCUAUUAAUAGAGAGUUUCAUCUCACUUUUAAACUACGAUUUUUGAAAU